CAAGGAACACAGUAAUGAUUCAGAACCUGAGCCUUGGAAGACCCCAGGGCCAGUAUUCAAGAGCUCUCUGGGGUGUCCUGUGGACCGCUCAGGGCAGACGAGCAUGUUGCAAGCACAGCAUGGGCAACAGGAGCAAGGUCGGCCGGAAGAAUUUCUAACAAUUCCAAGCAUUCAUUGUGGGAGAAAUCCAAACUCCGUUGUUCUUCUGUGGCUUUUGUUUGUUUGGGGUAUCUUAGUAGUUUUAUUCAGAAACAAUAAAAAGGGGGCUGGCCAAGUCAUCUCCUGGGGUCUGGAGCUAGCACUGCUCUUCAGUUGGUUGAUGAGCAUCAGAAGAGGAGGGUAGCUACAACGUUGUUAGCGGCAACCUAAAACAUCAACAGCCUGCAAGAGCAAGUUAGCACCAGGAGCCAGAAGGACCUAAACAGUCAAGGGCUAGCCUGCUGGGUUCUGUCUUACAGGAUGCGCUAAUUAUUGAGGGAUUGUAAACUCAAUGUUCCUGAAAAAUACAUCUACCAGGACAGCAAAUUAGUCUGGCUUUGUAGGUCUUACAGUGACUGACAAGGUAGGGGAGACACAGCUGUCGCUGAGGGCAGAAUCUUUCUGAUGACUCUUCUGAAUCCCAGAAGGUAAUUGUUCAUUCAUUCAUGUGUCCCUCCCACCCCGACCCGCUCCUGCCCAUCCCUUCAGUUCUAGGCAGGCAGAGUCACCAUGACUUACAUGCCCAGCCCUGGUUGGAUUUUGGUAGUGGUCUUUUUUUUUUUUUUUUUUUGGUUCUUUUUUUCGGAGCUGGGGACCGAACCCAGAGCCUUGCACUUCCUAGGUAAGCGCUUUACCACUGAGCUAAAUCCCCAGCCCCGGUAGUGGUCGUUUUUUAACUUUCCUAUAUGGUCUUGAUAAACUGUUACUCUGGUUGGCUUUCGAACUUGUGAUUCUCUUGCUUCAGGCUUUCCCUGUAGCCCAAACUAUAGGCUUAUAGCAUUAGGUCUCUGUGAGUUGUGAACUUCAGUGAGGAAAUCUAGAGCUAAGAGCACGUUGCAUGACAUAGGCUUAGAGCACUCGCCCUAGACCUUGGGUAGGAAUCACUCUCUCCCACCCCUCUGUUUGAGUGUAUGUACGUGCAUGUGCUCAUGGGCAUAUAUUCACAGAGAGAUUAUUAGUGAAAAGUAGGAAACUUUGAGUGGGAGGGGUUCCAGGAUAGGAAUACCAUUGUCUGUGUUUGUUUGUUUGUUUGUUGUUUUUAAGCAGGUUCUGAGAUAGCCCUGGCUGCCCUCAAACUCGAUACUUAGGUGGAUGACCUUGAACCUCACAAGUUCUGGGUUUCAGAUGCGUACCACCAAGGUACCAGGCAAGCAGUCUACCGCUGAGUUCCAUUCCCAGCCUGGGAGAGGUCUUUAUGUGUGCAGGUGGUCACAUGCACAUGCCAUUACACAGGCGUCCUCAUCAGAUGGCUUCUUCGAUCUACAGCUGUUGCCGUUGGUUUCCUCACCUUCCACUAGACUCCAUCUCCUAGAUGACUAGAGGACCACACUGCCUCACUACAGUCGCUACUGCUCAUCGCUGGGACUCAUAUUUGUACCAAAUCCCCUAGAGGCUAUACCACAUUGCUGGCACAUCAUUCCAUCUGUGGUUAGUUAGAAUCCCACAUCUUUAUUACUUUAUUGGCAAACGUACAGGGAUUCCUACUAAGCCCUGUUUUGGUCAUUCAAUGAACUGAAGUCUUAGAACCAGAGAGCUAUAUGUUAAUUUAAGGGUGUUAUCAUUACUUUAGGUGUGUGCAGGGCUAGUGAGAUAUCUCAGGGGUUAAGAGCACUGGCUGCUUUUCCAGAGAACCUGGGUUCUGCAACUCAGCACUCGUGUGGUAAAGGCAAGAGGAUCAGGAGUUCACAGUCAUCCAGCUAAGUAGCAAGUUUGAAGGCAGCCUGGGCUAUAUCAGUUUCCAGUACUGUCAUGGCAGCUGACAGAGAAUCCGCAGCCUCUUCUGGCCUUGGAGGGCACUACACAGAUGCAUUACACAGAAAAAAGCACCCAUACGCAAAACACAUAAAAUAAAAAGAAAUCAAUCUUAAGAAACCAGCUGGAUAUAGUGACACACGCCUUCAAUCCUAGUGUUUGGGAAGCAGAGGCAGGAGGAUCUCUGAGUUCAAGGCCAGCCUGGUCUACAUAGAAAGUUCCAAGACAGCCAGAGCUAAGUAGAAAUACCCUGUCUCAGAAAGAUAAUAAUACUAGUAAUAAUGAUAACAUUUAAAGUACACAUAUGUAAUAGUAUAUGAUUUAUUUAUAAUUAACCAAGACAUACUUUAUUUCUGCAGCAAAGUAGAAAAGUCAAUUCUAGCUUAAGGUUAUACUUCUUUUUUUUUCCUUGUUUGCUUUUCUACUUUAAAGGUUAUACUUCUAUACAAAAUUAUUAAAAACAAAAAAAAAUGAUUAAAAUACUUUCAAGUAAAAUAUGAGCUUAUAAGUACUUAUCUUUUUUGAGGGGGAAACAGUUUCAAGACAGGGUUUCUGUGUAUCGCAGACUGGCUUUGAACUCAGAGAUCUGCCUGCUUCUGCCUCUCAAGUGCUGAGAUCAAAGGCAUGAGCCAUCACUACCAGGCCUUUUUGUUUUGUUUUUAUUUAAGUGCUAAUCAAAUGACAAAAUAACAUUCUUGUAUGUAAGGAGUUCUAUCAACAUUUUAAAAACAUACUGUGGUUGACUAGAAUGCAUGAAACCCCCAGUCUGAUCGUUAACACUACCACGGCAGACGAGGGAGAGGGAAAGGGAGAGCCCAGCCUGAGAAUGCAUGUGCACACCUGGGUGUUUCUAUGUCUGUUAACCCAGCCAUAGUGGAAUGACCCUGUGACUCCAGCUACUCCAGAGGCUGAGGCUGAGGGGGGAUGAACUGCUUUAGCAAAGAAGUUUAAGGUCAGCUGUUUUAAAAGUGACAGAAGAUCAAGUUUGGAUCUUAAGUCCAAAAUGGAUCUUAUGAAAAUUCUGGUUGAUAAUGCCAAAACAUCGGAUCUUUACAGAGCAUUGCUCAUUGAUACUGUCAAGCAGAAGCCAUCUGCAUAGGCAGCUCUCAGUGGCUCUAUAGACACAGUGAUGAGUAGAGAUUAAAGAAUGGAUAAAAUUGCAAAAGCAACAGAAAGUCAUCAUCAGUGCCAGUGACACAUACUGGCCAGACACCUCAUUCUAGCAUGAUGCAGUAGCAUUUAUGUGGCUGCUUCAGCCACCUCAGCAACAAAGAACCACACGACAGAAGCAGAUUUCCAUCCAAAGAGCAUUAAGAAGGGAGCCCUGGGAUUCUCUCUUACAUCUGCACACAGACCUAAUAAAAGGCCUCUUCUCAUCAGCCUGCAACAGGGGAAACAAGGUAGGGAAUGGGCUGCUGGUCCCUGGGUGUGCACUAGACAGUGACAUCAGGGACUGCCCCACAGGGCCAGUGGCUGAUCUUCUAGAGACAGGAGACCAGGUCCAGACAGAUGGAAUGAUUUCUCAGGAACGCAGAGCUGGAAGUCGGUUUUUGUUUUGGAGACUGCCUCUCGCAUAGCCCAGGCUGGCCCUAAACUCUGCAAACAGGUUCUGAGAUCACAGGCGUGUGGGACAUGCCCAGCAGCCGGUAAACUUGCACUCUGAAUCCCUAAGCUUACUCAGUGAUCUCUGCACCUUACCACCUUGCCGCCUUUGCUAAAGGCCUCUACACAGUCAACUGCUUUUGAGAUGAUUUUAAGUAGACUUCUAGUUGAUGUACACAUUCUUUAUUUAGGGUCCUUCUUCCCAGGUGUAUUAGUACUUGCCUAAAAUCCCAGCACUGGGGAGCUGAGGCAGAAGGAUCACAUGUUCAAACUCAGUCUACAUAGUAAGAUUCUGCUUCCGUGGGAUGGACAGAUGGAGAUAUUUAUCCCUUAAGCUGUAGCUCAGGAGUAGAGUACACUAGUGUAAAGCCCUGUCAAUCCUCAGCAACACACACACACACACACACACACACACACACACACACACACACACACACACCCGUUUAACUGUUACUAUGUUUGUAAGUCUACUGAAGAUCAACAAUUCAAGUGACAAUAACCUGGUGUAAGAUACCUGAUUACAUUACAGUUCCUGCAACACUCCUAAUGGUUUGACAGUCAUCUCUGACCUCACUUGAGGUAGAUAACCAACUUAGCAUUUCAAAAUGGUCAGCCAGCUAAAAGCCCUGGAGCUGCUUGCUGGUCAAGCCACAUUUCCUGUUUUAGACUGAAAAGGCUACUUGGAUAGCCCUGCAUUCCUCUCCUCACUCAGCACAGCUGUCCCCUACUUCCCUGAUGAGGGUAAGCAGGAGUCUGCAGGCAAGUUUGGCUGGAAGGUAAGACAGCAGACAGGGUGAGUUAAUGCUUGGCCAGAGGUCACACUUAAGUGGAUCAUUGAGCUCUACAGAAUGACCCCUUAGCUAUCCAGCCUGUCAGUAAAGUUCUUUAGUUUGUUUCUUUAGUUUUGGUAAAUCUAUAAAGACUGACCCCUGCCUGGUAUCGAACACACUUCAGCUGAGGAAGUGAAAAAGUUGAGUGAUGGCGAGUUCUAUAAGCAGGCUUCAUUGAUACUUGGGCUACAAACUGAGAGAUGCCACAGGAUCCUUCUUUUUAGAAGGGCAUGUGUAAACUGUGUCUCUCUUAAAGACCCAACAAGAGAUCAUUGUAACAGCCACCCACAAAAGCUCCUUUGGUUCUUGUGAUAUCUUAAAAAGUUUCUAUUCCUAUAGUAAAACAUCAUGAGCAAACCAACUUGGGGAGGAAAGGGUGUAUUUGGCUUAUCUACCCUGGGUCACUGAGGGAAGCCAAGGCAGGAACUGAAGCAGAGCCCAUGGAGGAGAGCUGCUUACUGGCUUGUUCCUCAUGGCCUGCUCAGCAUCCUUUGUUGUACAACCCAGAGCUACCUUUCCAGUGCCCAGACACACAGAGACACAGGCACACACAGAGACACAGACACAGACAUGACACAGACACACACAGAGACAUAUACAGACACAGACAGAGACACACACAGACAGAGACACAUACACACACAGAGACACACACACACACAGAGACAUGACACAGACACAUACACACACGCACACAGAGACAUGACACAGACACAUACAUACACACACACACACACACGCAAGACAUAUCAGGGAGCUGGGUCUGUCAUAUCAAUUAUUAAUUAAAAAAAGCCCCAGAGACUUGCCUACAGGUGAGUAGAAAUGAUAGAAGCAUUUUCUCAAUUAAGAUUCCCUUUUCCCAGGUAUGAUUCGGUUUGUGUUGACAAAACCAACCAGCACACGUGACAAGAAACCAAUCUGCCCAUAGCUAGAUGUGCCAAUGCCCUCCUAGGCUCCAACUGCAACAUCCCCAUGUGCUUUUGCCCUCUGCAGCACCAGCAGAGUGGACUUCAGCUCACAAACUCUUAUAAGCUCUUAACAGUUUCAGAAUCCUGCUUUUCUCCCAGGGUUACCUCUUUCUUGUCCUUAUCCUUAAAUGCCACAUAAAAGGGAGGUGUAAGCCUAAUUAGAUAGACCAAGCUGAAAGAUUACUUUACAAAAUAUAAAAUGAAACAUGUUUUUGAUUGUUCAGUUAUUUGUUUUGGCAGCUUCAGUCAAAAUCAAGGCAACUGGUCUGAUUACAAAGGGCCAGGCCAAACAAUCUGUCCAAACAAGAAGGAAGGCUGGGCAGGAGGCACAUGCUUGUAAGCUUAAGCUCAGGCAGCCAAUGCAGUAGGUGAGUGCCAGGCCAGUCUGGACACAAAGCAAGACCCUGUCUCAAAAAAGAAAAGUUACAAUGGCACAACCAAGAACAACACCAAAGCAGUCUCCAGCUGGAGUUUAAGGGGGUGGGAGGGGGCAGCAUCUCUGGUGGGGCUCCCAGGCUUCCAUCCUGAAGAAGGGAGAGGAUACUCUGGCUGAACAGACUCAGGCACUUGGAGCUCAGACUCCUCCCUUCAGCACCCACACAGUGCCUGCCACGAUGGGUGUCAACAUGCUGGGUUAAUUAUCUAAAGUUGCUAAUGACUCAGGCUCCAGCAGAGUGUGUCCCCCACAGACUCACAGCAGGAGCCUAGUUCUGUUCCCACUUAGUUUUACAUUCGUGUGUAUUUAACAGGAAAGUGCCACAUUUAUAAAACAAACACCCAAAUUGGCACACAAAACCUCUUUGCCAUUAGCAUGAGUGAUCAAAAAGUUUAAAUAGGAAGAUGUUGAUAAUUAUUAAAAGUGGUGAUGGUUUCUAAUGCUAUUUCUCCCACUUUUGUGUACAGCUGAAAAUUUCCAUCUAAAAACGGAGAAUUUCAAUUAAAAUUUCCAGGGGUUGCCAUGAGCAUAAAAAUGGCCAUGCAGGCCCUGAGCAGUCUCUCGCAGGCCCUGAGCAGUGUGACAGCGCUUCCAGAGCACUCUGCCCAGCUCCCACCUUCCUGCCAGGGGUGAUAUGUAGCACACCCCACCAGUGAGCAAGGCCGUCAGCUCACUGUAGCUCUCUCAGUGACCAGAACCUUUGCUCCAGGGAACCAGGUCUCCCCGCUCAUCUCCAUAGUCAGCUGGCUUCCUCUGACAACAGAAAGAACUGGGGAGGGAAAAAAUGGUUUGGGUUUUUGUUUGGUUGGCUGUUUUUCAGGUUUCCCUCAGACUGGACAUCCUCCUGCCUCAGCCUCUCAAGUAUUGGAUGGCACAUAUGUGCCAUCAUACCCAGCAGGAAUCUUUACAUAAAACAGGUUUUUGAUGAACCAAGGCUUGAGCUGAGACAGGGGAGGGCAAAGCUGAAGCAGUCAGACCCAGAGGCUGGGCCACUAUGGGGCAGAGGCAUCUUCCAAGUUUAAGGCUCAGGCAGACACUUUAGGCUCCCUUUAGGAAGGGAACUGAAGCACCCGACACAGAAAGUGGUAGAGGAGACGGCCAUUGUAGCCUUGCUCCGUCCCUAAGCCCUACUGCAUUCUGACUCAUACCAGAUUCUCCGCUCUGAUUACAUUUGGUGAGACACUUCACUGCAUUUCACAGAGAUCUAGAAUUUAGAUUACAAGAAGGGAGAAAAAAAACCCUAAUAGGGGAACAAAUGAAACAAGAAUGGCAAAAUGUGAAAGAUACUAAUGUGGACAACGCUGGCACAGGCCUGCUGGCACAGGCCUGGGAUGCCAGCUCCUCAAGAGGCUGAAGAGAGGAUCAAAAGUUCAGGGCCUGCCUGAACUACAGAGUGAGUUCAAAGCCAGCAUGGGCCACUUAGUGAAACCUUGUCUCAAAUUAAAAAGUACAAGAUGGAUGGAGAUACCGUUCAGUGGUAGAACACUUGCCCAGCAUGCACAAGGUCCUGGGUUCAGUGCCAAGCAGACAAAGGGGGGAAAAAACAAAAAACAAAAACUUGGAAGAUACUGAAAGCAGUCAUCAGCAUAUACAGUUGGCUCAACAAACAAGCUUCCCUUGCCCUCGCAGAGUAUGUGUAUGGCUGUGCUUUGUUUGUCUUUCUCGUUUAUCUACUGCCACUUAAUUUUACUAGCGAUAACCCUUUACAGACAUACAUUUGUUUAUUUGUAUAUGGUCGCACACCGCAGUGUGAGUGCGGAGGUCAGAGGACAACUCGUGGGAACAGGUUCUCUCCUACCAUGUGGGUUCUUGGGAUUGGACUCAGGUAGUCAGAUUUGGCAGGAAGUACCUUUACUCCCUGAGCCAUCUCACGGCCCCGUUACAGAUGCUCUUAAAGCACAAAGUAAGCAUAUGUAGCUGCCUGGCAGAGCAAUUGCCUCGCGUGUUGAGGUUGAUCCCCAGCACUGGAAAACAUAAAAUAAAUGAAUAAAGAACAAAAGGAGUAUUUAAUUUCCCCAAAGAAGUAGUAACAUAUAGGAAAAAGUAGGUCAGGAAAAAUAAAAUAAUCUAGAACGUUUAGCUAGUAUAGCACACUAGGUAAUUCUAAAUAAAGAUACUGGGCUAAGCAAAACUCUGUAACCCUUACAUCCCGUUUGGGGUUUAAAAGAGCAUAGGGUACUACCCUACCUAGCUUCUUGCUCACGAUGAGACACACAGCACUCUAUUCUUCAGUGUCACAAGUCACUAGAGCCUAUGACAACUGUUUAGGGCAGCCAGGUGGAGCACACAGUAUCCUUACCAUCAACUAUCUGGCCUCCUCCAGGUCCCACGGAACUCGAGAACAUACUACAUUCUCAGGGUGCAGCCCUUUGUUAAGCAGGACGCUUCUGCCAAGCUGCAGAAUCCUCAAAGCAUUCACCGUCUCUGGGGGUGGGGUUUGCUAGAAAUUUACAAUCAGUUGUCCCCACGAGGAGCCAAGCUACCCAGAGAGAACAGGACUGCGUGACCAGAUUCUUUUUGGGUUGUUAGUUUCUGGUUUAAUUAUUCCCCCUUCUUUCUUCCCUUCCUUGUUUCCUCCAUCCCUCCUUCCUGGAUUCUCUAUUUAAUCAAAACUGGAUCUGGUUGCUUACUUAUAGCUGAGUUAAAUUGGUUUGAAAUCUUUUGUCAAACAAAUAGGCAAACUCGUAGAAGCUGGACGGAGUCUGUUCCUCUCUGAAGCCUUCUGUCCCAGUGUGGAAGGGAGAACCCAAGCCCAGCUCUGCUGGCUUCACUGUGGUCACGCAGUCCAGCCCAGACUUUAGGCGUUUCUGAGCCACCACAAAGAAAGCUGACAAGUGACCCUUCACUGACUUCUCACAGGCUCACUAGCAGUGACCGUCUAGACCACAGACCAGUGGUGUAAGAGGCCCUAAGUCUCACUGAGACACAUCCAGCACCCGAGCAUUUUAAUGAGAGAAAUCUGAAUGCCGCAGACGUGUGUCCUCCACCCCUUAACACAGCCCUCAGGGCAGACCAUUUACUCUUCUUGGUACACUGAAAAUGGGCAAAGAGAAAUGGCCGAGCGUGAAGCUGGUAGAUCUGUGGAGUUUCAGUGUCUUUGUUUGGAUAAUGAGUUAUUUUCCUUUCUUUUCUUUGUGGCAGUGGGGAACAAACCAGGGUCUCAGUAAAAGUUUCGGCAAGGACCCUGCCCCUGAGCUUUAUUUCCUCACCCAGGAUCCCAGCGCUGAGGGUUUUGUUUUAAAUUUCAUCUGAUGCUUCAAGUGAAAGUGGUAAUCAUCAUGGAACAAAGAACUUGACAUAUAUGAAGUAUGCAAAUCUGUGCAACCAUUUCACCACUUGCUCCAACACCAGAAUGAAAUGAGGAAGCUAGAACCCUGUCCCCUCUUUGAUUUUCUGCAUUUCUUACUUCUGCUUACUUGGGGGGGGGGGGAUAUUUGAGGUUUUAUAGUUUCUGGGAAUCAUUUGUAACAGUAAUGGGAUGACAAGCUGACGGAUUAACUGUCACUGAUGUGUGUCCUAGCUGGGAGGUAGAGAGCCAGGGUGUCAGCUUGGCGCAGACACUAACCUCUCUCUCCUCUUUCUGGGACUAUAAGCCAACCUUAAAGCCUGCUCAUGAAGCUGAAGUUAAGAGGACCAGGAACAGCAAACUGUAUGCACACCUCUUCCUUGACCCAGGGAUCCAGGCAUGCUUCCUGGAGGCUGCUGGUCCCAGUCAGGAGAGUCAAAGGAAGGCAAGGUUCUCUCAGACUAAAAGCAAGGGUUUGUUUCUUGGCUGCUGAACAGACAAGUCAGGGGCACUGAGAGCCUAGAGUAACUAGGAAAGUCUAGGCCCGGGGCUGGGAGGCUAGCUCAGUUGGUAAAGUGCAAAGCCCCGGAUUUAAUCCCCACCACCCAGUAAAACAGGCAUGGUGGUCACAAGUCUGUACUCCCAGCACAGGGAGGUAGUAGGAGAACCCCAAAACAGUUCAAGGUCAUCCUCAAUUACAUGGCAAGCUGAAGGCCAGCCUGGGCUACAGGAGACCCUGCUUCACAAAGGAAGUUCGAGCCUUGUUGGAUUAUUAUUUUUAAAGGCAGUCAAGUAUUUUUAAUCAAGUUAAUUUAAUAAGAAUUUAUUCACACGCUCAACAAAUAAAAACUGUAAGAUUGAGAGUGUGAGCACCCUUUACUCCCUUCCCCUUCUUGCUUCCUGACAGACAGCCAGGGUAACAGCCGAAAGAGUCCUUACCUAAGGCCUAUGUAUGCACAGCAAGUAGGAGCAGAUGGCACUUCUACCCCUCUCUUCUAGCAUGGAUAGUAACAUAUUACACAUUAUAGCUUGCCUUUUAUGUACCUCCUCAGCUGUGUGUGAAUGUGUGAGGAGGCCAGACAGAGGUCCACACUGGCAUCUCUGGUCCACUGCUGCUCUUCUGAAAGACUCUCACUGCUCUGGAACUUGCUAAGCAGACCGGCCAGUGACUCCAGCACGCACCAGCAUACCUGGCUUUUGUGACUGUUCUGGGGAUUGAACCCGGUUCUGCUGGGUUUACUGAAUUACUCCAACCUCCUUUUUAUUUUUUUAAUUUUUUUUUCAAUAAUAUGGAUUAAAUUCAGGGUUCUGUUCAUGCUGGGCCAGUAGCCUACUACUGAGCUAACUCCUUGUCCUUACCACUUGCUUUUUAAUUUUAUUUUUAUUUUUUGACAUGUACUACUUUUAUGAGAAGGUUGGACGGGGCAGUGUGGAGGGCGGGCACACACACGGCAGCCCCCGUGCAGAGGUCAGAGCACUCCACGAGUGUUCUGGUGACUGAGUUCAAUCGUCAGGUCUGGCAGCAAUUGCCUUUAACAACCAAGCUACCUUGCCUUAGCCAUUCUUGCUCUUCCACUAAAUUCCUGGGUUCAUUCCGGCUCUUAGCUUCUGCGCUCCUCCUUCUGUCUUCUUUUCUCUUCAGCAUUCCUUCUGCUCCAACCUCCAGAGAGCUGGGGUGGUAACACCAGCCCUUUGCUGUCUUUACACAUGUCCACACCCUCAGUGGGGUGCUCUCCUCCUCACUGACCAUGUUGGCUGAUUGCUCCAGGUCCUGCAACAAUGACUCCUGACAGCGCCAGGAUCUCAGCCCCUUCCUCUUCCUCCUCUAUUGGCUCUUCCCAUGAGCGCAGCCACGAAGGCGCUCACACGUGAAGCUGGGGGAGGGGCAGGGCAGAAGGAUUCACCAUUCUCCCUGCUAAGCAUUCUUCCAAGCAACUAAGAUUCCUGGUAUGGAGGUGCUUCAGCUCCCUGCUCAGCUCUCAACUCCCAGCCUCCCUUUUUUACCCCACUGAAAUUCCCAGGGCACCACAGCCUUUCCUGAUGCUAAAUACUAAUGGGCUUUUCAGUGCCUAUAUCACUGACAUCUCUAAAGUAUCUGACAUUGGGAUGUUGUGCUUUGAAACCUGUUCCAUGAUUCUAUGACUCCUACUUCCCUGUCUCUGCAGACUUCUGAAUACAGAAGCCAUCCUUCAAAUGCUAAAUUCCCCAGGAAGUCACACAAUUCUAUCAACAGCUCAGAUCUCUCCAGAGCUGCAGACUGCUAUCAACAGCCUGAGGGCUGGGUGCCUGGCACUUCCCUGGAGGUUUCUGUCCUUUAAAUGUCACUGUGCGGCUACCCUCUUGCCCAGCACUGACUUGUCACUUUGCACCCCCUUAGGCAAUGGCCCCAUGGGGCUGCCUAACCCCCAGUGUUUGGGGUCCCUCUCCAUUUGGAUCACGAGCAAUGCUGCUUACACGACCCUGUGUCUUCCACACCUCCCUGAUCUUUAACAACGUUUACCAUCCCCAUCGUAUCUGAAACCGCCUUGAGAUUUGUUUUAAUAAAUAAAAAAAAUUAUUUUUGAUUGUUUUGAGACAAAGUCCCACAUGUGUAGCCCAGACUGGCCUGAAACUUACCAGAUCCACAUGGUAUGACUCCAUGCUGAGCUAUAACUGACUUUUGGUCUCUAUUCUUGUCACCUCCUACCUUACUUCCACAGUGCAGUCAGAAUAAGCCCCUAAAACAUGAGUCUAAUGACACUACUUAGCAGUGUAAAAGUUAUUAACAACAUAAUCUUUAAAAAUACUGUCUGGGGACUGGGGAUUUAGCUCAGUGGUAGAGCGCUUACCUAGGAAGCGCAAGGCCCUGGGUUCGGUCCCCAGCUCCGAAAAAAAGAACCAAAAAAAAAAAAAAAAAAAAAAUACUGUCUGGGUGACUUCUCUCUUGCUGCGAUAAGACACCAAGACCAAGGCAACUUAAGCAGGCAGAGUUGACUGGAGGCUCUGUUUCAGAGGGCCAGGUUCCCUGCCCAUCUUGGCAAGGAGCAUGGCAGCAGGCAGACAGGCAUGGCACUGGAGCAGGAACUAAGAGUAUAUUUAGAUCCACAAGCAGGAGGCAGAGAGUUAAGUGUAAACUGUAUGGGCUCUUGAAACUUCCAAGUCUGCCCCUUUUGGCAAACCUCCUUAAACAAAACCAUAGCAUCUAAUCCUACUCUCUAACAGUUCCACUAACUGGGACCAAGGAUUCAAAUAUGUCAGCCCAUGGGGGCCAUUCUCAUCCAAACCUCUGACACUCCAAAUAAGCCUAAAGCGAAAAUAAGAUAAACUUGAAAACCACCGUGGAAAUAAAUGUUCAAUAGCUGGGGGGUGGGAGGAGGGAAUUGAAAAGCCACAUGAAAGUAAACCAAUAUUUACAAAUGUAAUAUAAACCUACAGUAAUUAGUCAAAACAGUGUGGCAGGGGACAGGGGUAGACACAUCAGUAAAGAGGAAGCCAGCAGGUGGCAAUGCCUGCAACUCAAGCACUGGACCAACUGUGCUACAUCCCCAGCCCCACAACUUUUUUUAAAUUUGCAUGAAAAAAAUCCUAUCAUAUAAUCUAAUAAAUAGCAAACUGUGAAAAUACUUGCAACUCAAAUCACAGAAAAAUGGCCACAUCUUUUAAAAAUAUAACACCCAACCACCAAAAUUAAGGGUAGAAGACAAUGUCAUGAGGAUAAGGAUAACAUAAAGCCACAGGGGAGAUGCACAUUCCAUUUAUAAGAAAAAGCAAAUCAAAGCUACACAGAGGACUGGGAGAGCCUGCUCAGUGGGUAAAGCACAAGGAAUUACAUCCCCAGCUCUGACGCACAAUGCUGCCAUGGAGGUAAGCACCUGGAGCCCCAACUCUAGGGAGGAAGCAACAGGUUGAUGGCCAGACAGACUAGCCCCAGGAGGGGGGGGGCUCAAAAACAAACAGGCAAACAAAACCAAAGGAGCUGGGAAGGUGGCUCAGUGGGCUAGCUGGCCUGGCAUAUGCAGCUGCAAGUAACUAAUAGACCCUGCCUCAAACAAGGUAAGGACCCACUUCCCAGGUUAUCUCUGAUCUCAGACCGGUUACAGAGUACACGCCAGGGUACCUGUACUCACAUGCUUGAACACAUAUGCACUUACACAGUACACACAUACAAGUGCAUGCUUAAAAAAAGAUUUCUUUUAAAAAAGCUAGGUUGAUGGCUCCUGAGAAACCACACUGAAGGUUGACACCUUAGGCAUCCAUGUGACUGUGCCCCUGCACACACUCAGCAUUACUUACACACACUUACACUUACACACACACACACACACACACACACACACACACAAGCCUUUCUCUCUCACACACAGACGCGCACACACACACAAGUAUCUCUCAACACACACAAGUCUCUCUCUCUCACACAUAGACAUGUGUGCUCACACACACACACACACACUCACACACACACGCUUACACACUAUAUACAGGCAUUUUAUGAGCUUAAGAAAGUUUAACAAAGGGGCUGGGGAUUUAGCUCAGUGGUAGAGCGCUUACCUAGGAAGCGCAAGGCCCUGGGUUCGGUCCCCAGCUCCGAAAAAAAGAACCAAAAAAAAAAAAAAAAAAGUUUAACAAAGACCAGAAAGUUUAGCAAAACCCUGGGGAGGCUAUGGGUAAGCAGGCUCCCCAACAGAACAGACCUGGGUAUAAGGUGGCAGACAUUCUAGAGAGGAUGACCUGACAGUGCGAAGUAAAAUUACAACUGUUCCUUCCAGAGGUCCUGAGUUCAAUUCCCAGCACGGUAGCGCACAACCAUCUGUAAUGGGAUCUGAUGCCUUUUUCUGGUGUGUCUGAAGACAACCUCAGUAUACUUAUAUAUAAUAAAUAAAUCUUUUUAAAAAAUCUUUAAAAAAAAAAAAGAGUAAGAAAAUGUGAACACAGUGGCCCAUGGAAGGGACCUAGGAGCUGCUGCAGCAGAGAUGCAAGGGCUACUCUAGACUGAACGUGCUUUCGUUUGCCC
Non-coding RNA from Rattus norvegicus (Norway rat), 14065 nucleotides. Lineage: Eukaryota; Metazoa; Chordata; Mammalia; Rodentia; Muridae. The record is from RefSeq and is a predicted model, not a curated record.